UGUGAUAAAAUGUAUGAAGCAUAUGGAAUUUUGGACACCAAUGAUAAGUUUAAUUCUUAAAUUCACAA
This 68-nucleotide transfer RNA is filed under the name Vatana ogromna. RNAcentral's name for it is "tRNA-Gln". The record is from RNAcentral. RNAcentral also lists the same sequence under 1 other name. Lineage: Eukaryota; Metazoa; Arthropoda; Insecta; Hemiptera; Cicadellidae.